Molecule: non-coding RNA, 1907 nt
Organism: Punica granatum (pomegranate)
Lineage: Eukaryota; Viridiplantae; Streptophyta; Magnoliopsida; Myrtales; Lythraceae
Source: RefSeq, a predicted model, not a curated record
UCCUGUUCUUCUUCUUCCUCUUUUCUUUCUUUUCCUUUUCCUUUUCUUCUUCCUUCUAACAGAGUCGGAACCGAGCCCGCUACGAUCCGACCCAAGCCUGCCGGGCCUCCUGACCUGCCUCUGCACACGCCAAUUCCUCUGCACACGCCAACGAAUUUCGUGCACGCCAUCUCUCUCUCUCUCUCUCGGUUUUUUUCAAAAAAAAUCGAAACUCACGGACAAAAACAGAAGAGCUCGUUCGAAAAAAACCCGGAGCUCGUUCGGAGGAUUUCACCCACAGCUCACAACGCCCGAACCUCUCAGCUCCCGGCUCUCUCUCCCGCACGAUUCUUCUCGUCCCCCCAGCUCACCCGGGGACCCCCCAGCUCGAAGUACCCGAAACUUCGCUGCCCCUUAGCUCGUUCGAUCCUCCAAAAAAAAAAAACCGCAGCUCACGACGCCCUCUGCUCCGACACUCCCUCUCGGAACUCCCGGCUCUCAGCUCGCCGGUGCCACGGCCUAAUCACUCGUCGGCGCAGCCGUGCCGGCUCAACAGUUUAGCUCAGCCCAGUCCAGCGGCCCAGCCCGCGUCCAGUGGCCUAGCCCAAUUCGCGCUAGCCCAGCCCAGCGAGCGGUCCAGCAAGCCGUUCAGCCCAGCUCGGCCCAAUCUAAUCCGAACCUCAGCCCGGUGAGCAGCCCAGCAGGCCUGUUCGGCCCAAUCUCCCUCAGCAGCCCAACUUCCAGCGUUUUUUUGUUUUUUUUUUAAUUUUUCCUUAUUUACAGAAUCACCCCGCAACUUCCCGAACUAGGUAAAUCCUUAACUUAAUGGCAUGAUUAGGGCUCCAUUUCUGAAUAUUAAUGUUUGCUUGAUAAAUAUGAUGUGCAAUGAGCGUUAUUGGGUCGUGUGGGUGAUCGGAUUCGUCCCGAACUCGAUUUUACGAACUUUCCGUUUUGUCUCAUUUCAGUCCAGAGGACGCAUUUUUAUUUUUUCAGAACUGCCCCAAAUUUUCAAAUUCUUUUCAGCCAAGUCCCAGUCAUUUUUACCAUUUCCCAUUCAGUCCUGGAAUUUUUCAGAAUUUUUCAAGCACUCCAAGGAACUUUUCAAGUUGUUUCAGUUUAGUCCCGGGGGCAUUUUCGCCUUUUUCAGAUCCGCCCCGAAUUUUAAAAAUUAUUUCCGUCCAAGUCCCGGCCAUUUUAAUAUUUCCUGAUCAGUCCUUGAAAUUUUCAGAAUUUUCUAAAUCAGUUCCGGAACUUUUUGCUUCGUUUCAGUUCAGUCCUCGGGGAAUUUUUUCACUUUUCAGAUUAGCCCGAACUUUCAAAUUGGUUCCAAAGGAGUCCUAGGACAUUUUCAAUAAUUCUUACACAGUCCCCAAUGUUCCAGAAUUUCCAAAUCAGUCCCCGAAACUUUAUCCGAAUUUUCAAAUCAGUCCCUGCUCUUUAAAAGUCGUUCAAAUCAGUCCUUGUGCAUUUUCUAAAAAUAUCCAACCCCUACCUACUUGGAUCCCCGAUCGACAACGUGUGUGCCCCGUUUAAAUAUUUUGUUCUUGUAGUUAUUUUGCAUACAACGUGAUGAUGCGUGCUCUUUGCAUGAUUUUUGGCUCGCAUGAGUCGGUGCCGUUUUAUUAAUUUUAUCAACAUUAUGUUUGCGUAUGCUUGUAUGUGUUUAUCAUGAUCAUGGCGGCACCGAUUGUGUAAAUUUGCAUAUUUGUUGUGCUUGACGUGAUAAUGUGCUCUUGAUCCGUGUUUAAAUGCUUUAUUUUCUCGUUCUUGAUCGAAACCUCAUAUGAAUCGACUCAAUCAUGUAAACUCGACCUAAAAUCAAUUUGUUUUCAAUCCCAAGAUGGUUGGGAAUUAGGAUUCGCAUCGGACGGUCUAUCAAUGAUCAGCUCGACAAUCCGAAACUCGCAUAUUUAGAGCAUUUGGCAAAA